This 607-nucleotide ribosomal RNA is filed under the name Micrometula hyalostriata. RNAcentral's name for it is "bacterial SSU rRNA". The stretch from base 1 to 543 matches the Rfam family "Eukaryotic small subunit ribosomal RNA", at positions 1220 to 1608 of the family's 1831-position model. The record is from RNAcentral. Lineage: Eukaryota; Foraminifera; Allogromiidae.
GGGUCCGGACACACUGAGGAUUGACAGGCAAAAGAUACAAGUUUUCUUUGUGAGAGCUUGCAUUGUAAAAUAUGCGAGUCCUUUCAUGAUUAUGUGAUAGGUGGUGCAGGGCCGUUCUUAGUUCGUGGAGUGAUCUGUCUGCUUAAUUGCGUUUCACAACGAUUUAAAAUGCUAUGUUUUCUGUGUUUGCUGUUCGGUUUUAGCUCUUACGGGAGUUUUUAACUUUGAACGCACACGGCGUAGCUUAAAACAAUCGGAAAGCAACGAACGUGACCGCAACCUCUUGUUGCCUUUAUUUUUAAAAGCGUAGAAAAUUUUAUAUUUUCUUACGCUUGAAAAAGGCUUUAAAACUAGAGGGACCGCUGUUCUAUUCUCUUAAACCAGAGGAAGAUUGCGGCAAUAACAGGUCUGUGAUGCCCUCAGAUGUUCCGGGCUGCACACGUGCUACAAUGAUUGUUGCAGUGAGCAUCUAUUUUCAAACGCUACCGUUGCGGAUUUUGUGAGAAGGGUUCUUGUUUUAAAGCUUUCGGGUGGAGAAGCAGGUUCUUUUUUUCACAAUUUAUUCCGCGUUACGUGUCAGCUAAACCUGCUUCGAAAGCAAGUAGGU